AUGAACGCUGGCGGCGUGCCUAAUACAUGCAAGUCGAGCGAACAGACGAGGAGCUUGCUCCUCUGACGUUAGCGGCGGACGGGUGAGUAACACGUGGAUAACCUACCUAUAAGACUGGGAUAACUUCGGGAAACCGGAGCUAAUACCGGAUAAUAUAUUGAACCGCAUGGUUCAAUAGUGAAAGACGGUUUUGCUGUCACUUAUAGAUGGAUCCGCGCCGCAUUAGCUAGUUGGUAAGGUAACGGCUUACCAAGGCAACGAUGCGUAGCCGACCUGAGAGGGUGAUCGGCCACACUGGACCUGAGACACGGUCCAGACUCCUACGGGAGGCAGCAGUAGGGAAUCUUCCGCAAUGGGCGAAAGCUUGACGGAGCAACGCCGCGUGAGUGAGGAAGGUCUUCGGAUCGUAAAACUCUGUUAUUAGGGAAGAACAAAUGUGUAAGUAACUAUGCACGUCUUGACGGUACCUAAUCAGAAAGCCACGGCUAACUACGU
RNAcentral lists this ribosomal RNA (495 nucleotides) under uncultured bacterium. RNAcentral describes it as "partial 16S ribosomal RNA". It matches the Rfam family "Bacterial small subunit ribosomal RNA", at positions 29 to 506 of the family's 1533-position model. The record is from RNAcentral.